AUUUUAAUUAAGUGUACAAGGUGUAGGGGUGAGUAUUGUAAAUGAGAUACCCUUGUAGUCUUCUUAAAUAGAAGAUAAAUCUAUCUCCCAAAGAAAAGAUUAUAAUAAUCAAGAAAAGAUUAAAUUAAAAGGAAAUUUUCCGCUGUAAGGAUUCAAUUUACAUUCGAUUAGGUAGUUGGAAGGGUAGAAGCCUCCCAAGCCGACGAUCGAUAGUCAAGUUUGAUAGAACAGAUGACCACAUUGGGAAUGAAAUAUCCCAAGUAGCGUGAAGCUACCAGCAGUCAAGAAUAUUAGUCAAUGCUCGCAAGAGUGAACUAGCUAACUGAAAUCAAUGGUGUGUCAUCAUUGAUAAGGUAAGGGAAAAGAAAUGAUACUACCUUACUAUUAGUGUCGUCCAAAUACUCGUGCCAGAAGACUCGGUAAGGCGAGAGACGCAAACGUUAGUCGUCUUAAUCAGGCGUAAAGGGUUUGUAGGCGGCUUUAAGAAUUUAAUCUUUUUAAAUAACAGACUUUAUUUUUAUAAAGUUAAUCUUUUUAAUUUAAGAAAAAAGGAAAAAAUCAAUUAAAGCUAGAAUCAAGUAGAGGUUAAAUUAAAUAAUACUUGGUGUAAGAUUGGUAUCUUUAAAAACCAAGCGGAAUACUAACGGCGAAGGCUUUUUUCCAAUAAUGAUUGACGCUGAGAAACUAAGGUGAGGACAGAAAAAAGGAUUAGAGACCCUCGUAUUCCUCACUGUCAACGAUGAAUGGUAGUUACUAGAAUAAAUUUUAAGGAUCUAGAGACGAUGUUAACACGAAAACCAUUCCGCCUUGUGAGUACGACUGCAAAGUUGAAAACAAAAAAAUUAGUCGGUUUCGGAGCAAACGAAGUGAAGCAUGUUAUUUAAUACGAUACCCCGCGUAAAAUCUUACCAGUCCUUGCAUAAAACUUUAUUUAUAAUUUUUUAUGAGUAAAGGUUGUUUGUGUUUCUAAUAAUUUAUUUUAGGAAUAGAACUUCAUACAGGUGUUGCAUGGCUG
RNAcentral lists this ribosomal RNA (1015 nucleotides) under Xylodon angustisporus. Its description in RNAcentral is "SSU rRNA". It matches the Rfam family "Bacterial small subunit ribosomal RNA", at positions 77 to 1051 of the family's 1533-position model. The record is from RNAcentral. Lineage: Eukaryota; Fungi; Basidiomycota; Agaricomycetes; Hymenochaetales; Schizoporaceae.